GCCUGGCUGGCUCAGUUGGUAGAACAUGAGACUAUUAAUCUCAGGGUCGUGAGUUCAAGCCCCAUGUCGGGUG
This 73-nucleotide transfer RNA is filed under the name Felis catus (domestic cat). It matches the Rfam family "tRNA". Rfam says of the family: Transfer RNA (tRNA) molecules are approximately 80 nucleotides in length. RNAcentral also lists the same sequence under 2 other names. Lineage: Eukaryota; Metazoa; Chordata; Mammalia; Carnivora; Felidae. The record is from Rfam by way of RNAcentral.